GAGUGUUAUAUUAAUGUGUAAUAUAUAAAUGUGAUUCUUCAGAUGGAUUGUUUAGCUCGGUUGCCAGGAGUGAGAGCGGACUUUGUCUGGUAUAAAAUACGCUUGGGGAGCGGAACAAUCUUUGCGUGUUGUUGUAGUACGAACAUAAUAGAAGUGUACUGGUUGCAAGUCGGGAGCGUUGGUGUCUACGUCGUUGUACUUAAGUGUAUUCAACGAGUUAUUGGUGGACGUUUUUGGCGAUUUAUUUAUUUUAGGUAUACCGUAAAGUCCACUUUAUUGAUUUCAACUGUUAUACCGGGGCUUGGCAGACCCAUUAGCGAGGUUGUGGGUAGUAGGCUGCUGGCCUGACCAAACAGAAUUGGAUCGAAGUAAGUUAGCUUGCCGGCUAAGUACCAGGCAAAUAUCCUACAUGCAAAUGUGCAGAAAAGCGGGUAUAAACUAUGAAGCUGUGGUAUUUGUAUUUAAAAAGGGGAAACGUUGGACCCACAGUUGGCAAUUUAAGAUGUAUUGCUAGAGGUAGCUAGCAAGCUAAAUAAGUUGGGAGGAUAGAUAUUCGGUCAAAAAAAGUUAGGAAGUCAAGGUAGAUUAGCUAACGUUAAGAUAGCUAGCCUAAGUAGCUAAAGCUAGUUGGCUACAUGUAGCAUUAACUCUGUAUAUAGGUAGCUAGGUAUCAUACAAAUGUUAUUAGCUGUGCCUCUGCUUGUUUAUUUUACAAAUCCGUAGAAGGCUAUUGUGUGAGAACUUUAGCAGGUAUUUUAUAGUCUGGGUACUGACGAACACCUCGAGUUUCUUCACACCAUACAUCCUUUGUUAAAGUGAAAUAGUGGUACAGUCUGUUGCGUUCACACUGCAAGAUGCCAACAUGCAUAUUAAUUAGUUACCCUGCUGUCUAAGUAACAUCAGUUACAAAGUAAAGGUGGUUCACACUAUCUAGCUAAACAUUUCUCGACGCUGCAGGCAAGCGCUUUAGGGGGGGGGGACUUUGCUAACUAGCUAGGAUACGUUACCUAUCUUAUUUGCUCAAAUGUAACCUUAGACUUGUAUUUAGAAAAAAGUAUGUGCACUGGAUUGCAGUGUGCAAUGUUAAGUUGCACUGGAUUGCAGUGUGCAAUGUUAAAUGUUAAGUACACAUAAUAAAAAGACAACGAGGCUUGCCUCGUUGUCUUUUUAUUAUGUGUACUUAACAUUUAGCUCCACCAGAAUCUGGUUACCAGCCAACAAAAUAAAUAUGAUUAUUAUUCGUUGAGUCUGUCAUGCUAUGGAGCAGUGUCAGUUUACACUCUUGUUUCUUCAGACCCCAGGAAGCAGCAACAGCAGAUGACUGCCAGUGUCUGACCAACUGUCACUCAUGGACAAAGUGGCUGCUGAAACCAUAGCAAUAGCUGAGGGCUCCUACCCUGACCAAGGUGCAAUCUGAGGAAGUGAUGCUGAAUAGUAUAUUCAUAAGGGCAAGGUCCUUGCUCUCUAGUGCAGCUUUGCUGAAGGACUAUUCUGUCUUGUCUUCACUACAGAGCUUUGCUCCUCAGAAA
Long non-coding RNA from Electrophorus electricus (electric eel), 1529 nucleotides. RefSeq lists it as uncharacterized. The record is from RefSeq and is a predicted model, not a curated record. NCBI's taxonomy places the organism in Eukaryota, Metazoa, Chordata, Actinopteri, Gymnotiformes, Gymnotidae.